CUCUGCAUCUGCUCCUGCUUUCUGACCUGCUUGAGUUCCAGUCCUGACUUCCUUGGUGAUGAACAGCAGUAUGGAAGUGUAAGUCCAAUAAACCCUUUCCUCCCCAACCUGCUUCUUGGUCAUGGUGUUUGUUUAGGAAUAGAAACCCUGACUAAGACACUAGGUAAUCUCCUUCUUAGUGGCAGCAAGGUCAAAGUCUGGAUCAGCCUGCUCCAAGGCUCAGGGAGGCUACAGAGCAUGAGAGAGUGACCAAGCAAGAAAGCAAAGCAGGAAGUAGUGUUUUUGUCAAAUGUUUUUGCCUUCAUUUUCUAGCUUCAGUUUCUAGUCUGAGCUCCCAGUAUGGUGGGCUGUGAUCUGACAGAACCAUUUAAAACAUUUAUUACCUGAGAUGCUUCUGCUCAGAGGAAAACAAUCACAUCAGCAGAGUUGCAAGGUAGAGCAACAACAAUAACAACAACAACAGCAAUUGUUUCAAAAGCUGAUUUUGCUGCUGGACAGAAUCUCUGGUCUCUUUUGAAGGAAUAUGGAAAAUAUCAGAAAUUGAGAUGGCAAAGGUCAUAGAAAGCUGUACAUGGAGUUUAAUCAGUUGUUCCCAUAGGGUCUGGAAGAUUGGAGUGUUGACAGUAAUGCAGCCACACGAAUUUGAGGUCAUACUAUUUCAGUGGAAAAUGGACUGAAAGCUUUAGGAAGAGGUCAUUUGUGUGAUAUUUUGGCCAAAAAAAAAAAAAAAAAAAUCUUUUGUACUUUGCUUAUGCCCUGAGAUAUUGAGUAUUGAGUAAAAAUUAUUGCCUGAUUUGUAUAUUUUUAUUCUAUUGAUAAGUAUUUGUUCAAUCUUCCUAUUUCUUUAUUCAAGUUACAUUCAUAUCGGUACACCCAUCCCAUUCCACCUUCCACAGUCCCUCAUCACUGACUCCCUUUUAUCUCCCCAUGGAGGGUGGGAACCACUUGAGUAUCCCCCAACUAUGGCAUGUCAAGUCUCUGUAGGGUUAAGUCUCUGCAGGGUUAGACACAUCCUUUCCCACUGAGGUCAGACAAGGCAGCCCAGUAAGGGAAACAGUUUGCACAGACUGGAACAGCUUAAGGGAUAUGUCCCACUCUGGAUGGUGGGGGCCUCCGUCCCAGCCUGUGUGUGCUCUUUGGUUGGUGGCUCCAUCUCUGAGAGUCUCCUAGGUUCCAGGUUAGUUGACUCUGAGGGUCUCCUCAUGGCCUUACUAUUCUUUCAGAGGCCCUCAAUUCUUUCCCCAACUCUUUUAAAAUACUCCCUGAGCCCUGUCCAAUGUUAGGUUGUGGGUCUCUGCAUGUUUCACUCAGAUGCUGGAAGGAGAUUCUCAAAGGACAAUGAUGCUAAGCUACUAUCUGCAAGUAUAACAAAUUAUCCUCAGCAAUGCCAGCCUUGGUGCUUGCCCAUGGGAUGGGUUACCAGUUGGGCAGGGUAUAGUUUGGCCAUUCCCUCAGUCUGUUUCAACUUUGUGCCUGCCUUACUUGCAGC
RNAcentral lists this long non-coding RNA (1489 nucleotides) under Mus musculus (house mouse). RNAcentral's name for it is "long non-coding RNA chr12:19296733-19298222". Lineage: Eukaryota; Metazoa; Chordata; Mammalia; Rodentia; Muridae. The record is from RNAcentral.